AUUUAUAUAGUAUAAAAAUUAUUUUUAACUUCCAAUUAAAAGAUUUACUAAAUUAAUAUAAAUA
Molecule: transfer RNA, 64 nt
Filed under: Dictyoptera aurora
Lineage: Eukaryota; Metazoa; Arthropoda; Insecta; Coleoptera; Lycidae
Description: tRNA-Gly
Source: RNAcentral